This 272-nucleotide ribosomal RNA is filed under the name uncultured soil bacterium. Its description in RNAcentral is "partial 16S ribosomal RNA". It matches the Rfam family "Bacterial small subunit ribosomal RNA", at positions 26 to 285 of the family's 1533-position model. The record is from RNAcentral.
AGAAUCAACGCUGGCGGCGUGCCUAACACAUGCAAGCCGAACGCGAAAGUGGAGCAAUCCAUUAGUAGAGUGGCAAACGGGUGAGUAACACGUGGGCGACCUACCUCAGAGUGGGGGAUAACCUUCCGAAAGGAGGGCUAAUACCGCAUGACAUCCCGUGUUUGGAUACACGGAGAUCAAAGCCGGGAUCGCAAGACCUGGCGCUUGGGAGGACGGGCCCGCGUCCGAUUAGCUAGUUGGUGAGGUAACGCUCACCAAGGCUCCGAUCGGUA